UACGUAGGGGGGCAAGCGUUGUCCGGAAUCAUUGGGCGUAAAGCGCGCGUAGGCGGCCCGGUAAGUCCGCUGUAAAAGUCAAAGGCUCAACCUUUGAAUGUCAGUGGAUACUGCCGGGCUAGAGUCCGGAAGAGGCGAGUGGAACUCCUGGUGUAGCGGUGGAAUGCGCAGAUAUCAGGAAGAACACCGACGGCGAAGGCAGCUCGCUGGGACGGUACUGACGCUGAGGCGCGAAAGCGUGGGGAGCGAACAGG
This 254-nucleotide ribosomal RNA is filed under the name uncultured bacterium. Its description in RNAcentral is "partial 16S ribosomal RNA". It matches the Rfam family "Bacterial small subunit ribosomal RNA", at positions 524 to 776 of the family's 1533-position model. The record is from RNAcentral.